This is a long non-coding RNA of Prionailurus viverrinus (fishing cat), 471 nucleotides long. RefSeq lists it as uncharacterized. The record is from RefSeq and is a predicted model, not a curated record. The transcript is spliced from 3 exons. Lineage: Eukaryota; Metazoa; Chordata; Mammalia; Carnivora; Felidae.
CUUGUCGCGCCGCCGCCGAGGCCCGCCCCACUGACCGUGGCGCCUGAAGGGGCGGAGGAAAGCGCUUCCGCGCAAGCGCAUUCGCGUGCUGUCGCCUUCUAGAGAAGUUACUGCGCAGGUUCGCGUGGAACCUACGGAGAGACCAGUAGGUCUUGGAGGGCUAGGAUUCCUUUGAUGGGAGCAGAGAAAUUGUUACCACAUUUUCCACAAUUUGACCACCGCUUCCCACCCUCCAACUUGGUCUGCUAUUCUCCCCUUCCCAGAAAGUUUAGCGCACUUCGCAAGGCCGCGUUAUGACUUUCGUGGAACCGCGACACAUUGGCCUUGCGUUUGUGGAGUCCUAGAUUGGAGCGUGGCAAAGAGAUGUUCAUCAUCGGCAUGUGGUGUAGAUGACACAAGCUGGCGGUCAGCUGGAAGAUAAAGCAAAUGUACAAGGGGCUACCCAUUCCUAGGGAGAGAGAAUUGGGAUCA